CCCUUAGAUGUUCUGGGCCGCACACGCGCUACACUGAAGGAGGCAGCGUGUACUCCUGGAUCGAAAGAUUUGGGUAACCCGCGAAUCUCCUUCGUGCUAGGGAUUGAGGUUUGCAAUUAUCCUUCAUGAACGAGGAAUUCCCAGUAAGUGCAAGUCAUAAGCUUGCGCUGACUACGUCCCUGCCCUUUGUACACACCGCCCGUCGCUACUACCGAUUGAAUGAUUUAGUGAGGACUUCGGACUGGGACCGAUGCGGCUUUCGGGCUGCGUCGGUAUUCUGGAAAGAUGUCCAAACUGUAUCAUUUAGAGGAAGUAGAANUCGUAACA
Molecule: ribosomal RNA, 327 nt
Filed under: uncultured eukaryote
Lineage: Eukaryota
Description: partial 18S ribosomal RNA
Rfam family: Eukaryotic small subunit ribosomal RNA
Source: RNAcentral